This 316-nucleotide ribosomal RNA is filed under the name uncultured soil bacterium. Its description in RNAcentral is "bacterial SSU rRNA". It matches the Rfam family "Bacterial small subunit ribosomal RNA", at positions 8 to 352 of the family's 1533-position model. The record is from RNAcentral.
AGAGUUUGAUCAUGGCUCAGAACGAACGCUGGCGGCAGGCUUAACACAUGCAAGUCGAACGCACCUUUCGGGGUGAGUGGCAGACGGGUGAGUAACGCGUGGGAACGUGCCCUUCAGUUCGGAAUAACCCAGGGAAACUUGGGCUAAUACCGGAUACGUGCGAGAGCAGAAAGAUUUAUCGCUGAAGGAUCGGCCCGCGUCUGAUUAGCUAGUUGGUGGGGUAAUGGCCCACCAAGGCGACGAUCAGUAGCUGGUCUGAGAGGAUGAUCAGCCACAUUGGGACUGAGACACGGCCCAAACUCCUACGGGAGGCAGC